AAACCCCAGUGUCACAAAAGAAUUGUCUAAGUUCGUUUAAUACCAGCAGUGUAAUUUUUAUAAUUUAUAGUCCAUAGUGAAUGAGCAAACCCCACACUUUUAUAUACACUAGAUAUUCUCACAUAUUAAAAAUUUUGUGGUGGUUUUCUUAAAGGCUUUCCUCUCCUUAAUGUUCCAUUAAAGUGAUUUGAAUUAGAUGGAAGGCAUUAAUAGAAUUACCUCCAAAAUACAUAGUCUAGAGCAAAACUUCUGAAAAUCUAAUCUGAGACCUACUUACACUCAGACUUUUCAUUGGUGAAAAUGAAAAUUUCUGUCUCAAAUAACGUACUGGAUCAAUACACAAGUAGGGCUCAGGUGGUGGUGUCCUGGAGCUGGCUUUCACAAGAGGCUUACAAAUGCCAACUGGCAAUUUACAGGUAUUUUGUGAGCUGAUUGUUAAAAAUAGGCAUCAUUUGGAUAAGGCAGUCACUUCUAAAGAAUUAUCACCUCCUAAUUAUUUUACUGUGUUUUGUGAUUGUGUGUGCUUUUGAGGGAUUUUACAUCUGUUGUAUUUGUGUAAAUACUACAAAACAUUGUGUUGCCACUCAUUUCUUCCUAACUCGGUGUUCAGUGACAUGGAGCUGAUGGCUAGAAAUUAGCCACACUGUCAAAGUUUUCACCAUGGACAUCGACAAAUGCUGUACCUCAGACUGUGAUUUAUUAUUUUAGAGGUUUUCUAGAUUAAAGAAAAUGAUAGAAAAAAAAUUGUUAAUACAGAUAAUUGUGAAUGGCCAAAGAAUUUGAGGAAAUAUUCUUCUAGUAUUCCCUUAUCCACUACAGCCAAGAUUUUGCUGACAUCAUUAAUGAGCAAGUACAGUCCCAGUGUGGGUCUUUGUUGUUUCAGGAAAUGAUAAUAUAAACAAACAUUCUUGUCUGAACUAAUUGGACAAUUGCAACCAUAGAUAAGCUAUGGAAGAGUUCAACAAAAAUCAAGGAAAGAAUGCUGUGAAAUUCAACUGCUUGUAUGGCAUUCACAAGACAUAAAUUAUUGUAUAUUUUAAAUUUUUUAUAAAGUUUGUGCUACAUAUUUUUUACAGUAAAAGCUACAAUAAACUAAUACACUUGUCUGGUUGUGUUACCAGCACACCACUAGACCCAGGAUUCUGAAAUUUUAACAAGCUCCCCCAGUUGAUUUUUAUACAAGCUAAACUUUAAUAACUGUUACUCAAAUAUUCCUAGUAAGGAUGGAAAUCAUACCUACUUUUUUUUCUGUACUAUAGGUGUGCCAAAGUAAUCUCCUGGGGCAUAGGACAUGAGCUGAAUAAUUUUCAUUUACCAAAAUAAGCUUAAUUAAAUCUCAAUUCUCUUAAGAAAAAAAGGGAACUUUGAAAGAAGAAAAUGCACUUAAUUACUGUCUGAUUAUUUACAUACUUUGUAUCACUUAGAAAUUUGAAGGAGAGUUUAUUUUAUUCUUAACUUUUACACAAAAUUUGGUCUUUGAAUUUUAAAAUAUAAUAACAAAAGACACUUACGAUAUAAUAAUAAAAGGCACUUACAGUGCAUAUUCCCCUUUCCUCACACUUAAUCUAGAUAUCUUUUUUAAAGACUGGACCACAACAAAUUAUGUUACUAAUUUUUUACAUUUUUAAAUUUUUGAGUGAAAUAUAUGUAGUAACAGAGACUAAACAGGGAGAGAAAGGAACAAUACCAUGGAACUAGCUGAGAAAGGAAUGAUUGACAAGAAAGUAACAUUCUACAUGCACAAAUUCUACAGCCUUUUAGGCCUUUUCACUUAUAGGGAAGAGAUUGAAAUGUGGGCUGAGAAGGAAUUGUCAAAGUGACUUUUCUUCUGAAAAGAAAGGAGUAAGACAAUACAUCUUAUGUCUUAUAAAAUUUAUUUUUAAAGUACCUGUUUUUAAAAUUAGAAACUAAGAACAGAGAGAGUUCAGGGUAAUAGAACGAGAAAAACAUAAUAGAAGGGACCGUCUAGCCCAGUCCCUCCAUUUUAUAGAAAUAAAAAUUGAUCCUUAGAAACGUUAUCUGACUUGCCUAGGGUGGAACAGUAGUUACUAGAACAUUAUUAAAAACCAAUAAUUUAAUUUUCGUUGGGUUUCUAGUUUUUAUGUGUGCCAAAGUUCAGGCCCUAACAAUAUAAAACUAGUAUGUAGUAGAGUCAUUUUUUUUUUUUUAAAGUCCUUUGGGCCACAGUUACCAAAGGAAUGAACUCAUGCACAAUAAAUAUGAAUAAAGAUCAGGAUGGUUUUACCUCCUCUCGUUUGUGCUUUUUUAUUCCGAUGUAUAGAG
RNAcentral lists this long non-coding RNA (2283 nucleotides) under Marmota monax (woodchuck). The record is from RNAcentral. Lineage: Eukaryota; Metazoa; Chordata; Mammalia; Rodentia; Sciuridae.